GAUGAACGCUGGCGGUAUGCUUAACACAUGCAAGUCGAACGGACUCUUCGGAGUUAGUGGCGGACGGGUGAGUAACGCGUGAGAAUCUGGCUUUGGGUUCGGGACAACCACUGGAAACGGUGGCUAAUACCGGAUGUGCCGAGAGGUAAAAGAGAAAUUGCCUGAAGAUGAGCUCGCGUCUGAUUAGCUAGUUGGUGAGGUAAAGGCUCACCAAGGCAGCGAUCAGUAGCCGGUCUGAGAGGAUGACCAGCCACACUGGGACUGAGACACGGCCCAGACUCCUACGGGAGGCAGCAGUGGGGAAUUGUCCGCAAUGGGCGAAAGCCUGACGGAGCAAUACCGCGUGAGGGAAGAAGGCUCUUGGGUUGUAAACCUCUUUUCUUAGGGAAGAACAAAAUGACGGUACCUAAGGAAUCAGCAUCGGCUAACUCCGUG
Molecule: ribosomal RNA, 435 nt
Filed under: uncultured bacterium
Lineage: Bacteria
Description: partial 16S ribosomal RNA
Rfam family: Bacterial small subunit ribosomal RNA
Source: RNAcentral